RNAcentral lists this unclassified non-coding RNA (383 nucleotides) under soil metagenome. Its description in RNAcentral is "partial contains 5.8S ribosomal RNA, internal transcribed spacer 2, and large subunit ribosomal RNA". The stretch from base 1 to 120 matches the Rfam family "5.8S ribosomal RNA", at positions 35 to 154 of the family's 154-position model. The record is from RNAcentral.
GAUGAAGAACGUAGCGAAAUGCGAUAAGUAAUGUGAAUUGCAGAAUUCAGUGAAUCAUCGAAUCUUUGAACGCAUCUUGCGCUCCUUGGUAUUCCGAGGAGCAUGCCUGUUUGAGUGUCAUGAAAUUCUCAACCUUUCUGGCUUUUGCUAGUCAGGCUUGGAUUAUGGGAGCUGCUGGCUUUUGAAGUCGGCUCUUCUAAAAUGUAUUAGCAAGAUCAUUGCUGCUCAUCAUUGGUAUGAUAAUUAUCUAUAUCAUUGAGAGUCAGUUUCCUUUAUUGGAAGAUUUUGCUCCUAACGGUCUUUAGCAAGACAACAUUUGACGAUUUUGACCUCAAAUCAGGUAGGACUACCCGCUGAACUUAAGCAUAUCAAUAAGCGGAGGA